UUUUUUUGGUCCAAACAGGAUUGCAGCUACAUGUGCAUUAUCAUCAAGCUAAAAAUUCUACAAACUGAAACAUUGAUGCUUGUAAUUGUAGUUCUUUAUCCAUCACUUUUCAGUGUUAAAAUGUAGCAGCAACAGCAAAUUCAACAAAAAACAAACCUGAAUCGCAAAAAUUUUUAAUACAAGUAUUCAAGACCCAUGUAC
This 201-nucleotide unclassified non-coding RNA is filed under the name Hevea brasiliensis (rubber tree). Lineage: Eukaryota; Viridiplantae; Streptophyta; Magnoliopsida; Malpighiales; Euphorbiaceae. The record is from RNAcentral.